Molecule: long non-coding RNA, 2128 nt
Filed under: Oryzias javanicus (javanese ricefish)
Lineage: Eukaryota; Metazoa; Chordata; Actinopteri; Beloniformes; Adrianichthyidae
Description: lncRNA (ENSOJAG00000005724.1)
Source: RNAcentral
CUUUAUUGAGUGACUUCCAGAUCUCUUGAAGGAGCCGGCUUGAUUUGGUAGACAAAUUUCAUGGAAAAACGACACUCUUGCGUGUAUGCUAACUAUCUCAGCUGGUCCAGGGAUUUGCCAACAAUGUAAAUAGCCUUAAAGAUACGUCCCAACAACGUCCCUGUCCUCCCAAAAACUACACUCAACAAACACGCCCUCUCCAUUCUAAUCUGGUCUCAGUGACGGAUGCUCUCACUCCCUUUACCGAUGAGCUCAUGACAGACAUGGAUGUUGUCAGCGUACUGCUUCCAAGCUGAAGCUAAACUUUUGGGAUAAAAACUCUUUGGAAGACAACAGCUAAGGAAGUGAAACCUUCCAAACAGUUGGCGGAUUGUGGAAUUGGAAUUUUAUCCAGUUACUGUGACAUUUGUAGGAAACCAACCCGCUGUUGAGAGUAAGGAUGUGGACCAGAGCUUUCAUUUUUCUGAUUGCAACUAUUUACUUCAAUCAGGUUAUUUCCGGAGAGAUCUACGUAGCCGAGCUGACGGUGGAAAGUAACGUCACGUUGGAAGCCAGCACCAUCCUGUCAAGCUGGACUGAUGGCUCAGUGUUUCAAGUCACAUCUGGCUCGACCCAUCAAGUGACGCUAGAAAGCAGAGAAAUUACUGCAGAAUGCGUGGUAAUUGGCGACGAGUACAAUUGCAGCUGCUCUGGUGGAUAUGUGUGGAGCAAUGAAGUGUGCUACGACUAUGAAUGCUGCAACAACACUGCUUGCCUUAAAAAUGUGUCUCUAGUGGCUCCGCUCUGCAUUCCUCCAGUCAAUGUUAGCCUCAAUGGAACAGCUAUUCUGAGUGCUACAGUGAAGGGAACUGAGACGACUACGAUCCAAGAUCUUUUGACAAAGCUCAAUGGUGUGAUAAACAUAAAUGUACUUCCUCCAAGGUCUUCUCCAACAAUAAACAACAACAUUAUUGAUUUUAUUGCAAAUGCCAGUGUCCGGUUUAAUACCACUAAACUUCAAGAGAUUGUGACUAAACUGAAAAGUGACCUGGGAGCUCAAUAUACUUUUGUCGACACUCAUGGGAUGGUCACCAUUGUUGCCCCGAAUAAUACCGUGGAUUACAAGUCAAACCAAAGUCUUAGGUGUGAGUUUGAUGAGAGCACGGACUUCAGUGGCUGGAACCUGAGCAGACCCUAUGAGCGCUUUGAGCUCAACACUGGCAGACAGGUCACCCUGUUGCCGUGUAGCUCUGCAAAUUACCCAUCUUGUAUCAAUGUUACACUCUAUAAUUUGACGGGCAUUUUGGCAGGUAUAUAUGAAUGUGGAUUUACAAAGGGUUUGGUCAGGCACACUGCCAGCACAAAACUGGAUGUGGCUCUCCUGCCGGAUUCCAUCACCAUGACAACAGAUCCUCUCAUUGCGGACUGUUCUAAAGAUGGUACCCCCUCAGUACAAGUGACUGUUAAUGCAACCAUUCCAGUCAAAGGGGAUUUUGAAUUUAGGUGGUUUCAUAAUGAAGAUAGUCCGGUUUCAUGGAGCAAAGCAGCUACAGAGCUACAGCAGAAGGAAAUAACAAUUGAAUGUAAAAAAAAAGAAAAUACAGUGAAAAUCUCUUUCAAAAAUAAGAACCAACAAAACGUCACUGGAAGUAUAAACAUCCCAGUCCUGACUGCCGGCGAUCCAUUUUGCAAAGAGGAAAAAAUUGAUGACGUGGUUUGGCCAAAGACCCCUUUACGCGUGACAGUUGUCACUACCAAAUGCCCUCCUGGGAGGGUCGGGGAACGACAACGCUCUUGUGGAAACAGUAGCAAUUGGUUGAGUGUGCUGUCCAGCUGUGUCAGCGAGGAGUUAAAGAAAGUUUCAAAUGCAGCCGACAACUUUCUCCAGGGAGUUGGAGCCACCCAGGAAGUGGCUUUGAACAUAUUUGAAGGGAUGAGGAAUAAUUCCAAUUUGGGAAAUUCAACUGAUGGCAUUGCCGACAUCAGAGCCUCCGUGAAUAUAAUAGACACAAUGGCCCAGGCGACAAAAUACAUUAGUUUGACCGAGGACGUCUUCCCUGUAAGUCAUUUUUUGUGUUUUCACUUUAGCUUAACGGCAACAGCAGGUUAAGUUACUGUCUUUGAAAUGCAUCCUCACAUGUCCUCUGCA